RNAcentral lists this long non-coding RNA (355 nucleotides) under Setaria italica (foxtail millet). Its description in RNAcentral is "long non-coding RNA (SITA_LNC001585)". Lineage: Eukaryota; Viridiplantae; Streptophyta; Magnoliopsida; Poales; Poaceae. The record is from RNAcentral.
AGGAGCGGUUCUACCUGCAGCCGCUGCCGCCGGCGGAAGCCGCGGCGAGGGCCAAGUCGUCGGCCCAGGACAUCCUCAACCUCAAGCCGCUCAUCGACAAGAAGGCGUGGCCGUACGUCAUGAACGACCUCCGCCUCCGAGCCUCCUACCUGCGCUACGACCUCAACACCGUCAUCGCCUCCAAACCCAAGGAUGAGAAGAAGAGCCUCAAGGAGCUCACCGGCAAGCUCUUCAGCACCAUCGACGAUGUAAGCCAUGCUGCCAUUGAACUGAGAACAAUUGGCCAAUAACUUUUUUUCUCACUUUUUCACCAUAGCUAUGGAAAUAACAUGUAAGCUUCUCUUCUCAUUUUGGC